Molecule: long non-coding RNA, 4355 nt
Organism: Callithrix jacchus (white-tufted-ear marmoset)
Lineage: Eukaryota; Metazoa; Chordata; Mammalia; Primates; Cebidae
Source: RefSeq, a predicted model, not a curated record
GGGAUGCUAAAUUUUAUUGAAAGCUUUUUCUGUGUCUAUUGAGAUAAUCAUGGCUUUUGUCUUUAGUUCUUUUUAUGAGAUGAAUUAUGUUUAUUGAUUUCUGUAUGCUUAAUGCACCUUGCCUCCCUGGGAUGAAGCCUGCUUGAUCAUGGUGGAUAAGCUUUUUGAUGAGCAGCUGGCUUUGGUUUGUCAGUAAUUUAUUGAGGAUUUUUGCAUCAAUGUUCAUCAGGGAUAUUGGCCUGAAGUUGUCUUUUUUUUUGUUGUAUCUCUGGAAGAUUUUGAUAUCAGGAUGAUGCUGACCCCACAAAAUGAGUUAUGGAAAAGCCCGUCCUUUUCAAUUGUUUGGAAUCAUUUCAGCAGAAAUGGUACGAGCUCCUCUUUGUACCUCUGGGAGAAUUCAACUGUAAAUCCAUCUGGUCCCGCGCUUCUUUUGCUUGGUAGGCUUUUUAUUACUGCCUCAGUUUCAGAACCUGUUAUUGGUCUAUUUGGGGAUUCAAAUUCUUCCUGGUUUAGUCUUGGGAGGGUUUAUGUGUCUAGGAAUUCACCCAUUUUUUUCUAGAUUUUGUAGUUUAUUUGCAUAGAGGUGUUUAUAGUAUUCUCUGAUGGUUAUUUGUAUUUCUGUGGGGUCAGUGGUGAUAUCCCCUUUACCAUUUUUUAUUUUGUUGAUUUGAUUCUUCUCCUUUUUUUCAUUAGUCUACCUUGCAGUCUAUUUUUUUUUCUCAAAAGACCAGCUCCUUGAUUCAUUGAUUUUUUGAAGAGAUUUUUGUGUCUCUAUCUCCUUCAGUUCUGCUCUGAUCUUGGUUAUUUCUUGUCCUCUGCUAGCUUUUGUGUUUGCUGGCUCUUGGUUCUUUACUCAUUCCUUAUCUCAAGCCUUCUCCUAUGGCUCAAGAAGAUGAUAGUAAGAGUAAAAUUCAGCCAUUUCUGUGAUGUAUCUAUCAGCAUUUUGUUUCUUGAGACAGUGUUAUGUUCUGUUGCUGUGACACCCAAGAUUGAAAGCAGUGGUGUCAUCAUAGCUCAUAGUAGGCUCAAACUUCUGAGCUCAAGAGAUCCUCCCUCCUCAGCCUCCCAGGCAGCUGGGACUACAGGCACACACUACCACACUUGGCUAAUUUUUGUACUUUUUUGUUGAGAUUGGAUUUUGCCAUGUUGCCUAGGCUAGUCUUGAAUUCCUGAGCUCAAGUGAUCCACCCAUCUUGGCCUUCCAAAGUACUAGGAUUAUAGGCAUGAGUCAUCAUUUCUGGCUUAUUCACAUAUUUUUAUAAUAACAGUUACAUAAAACAAAAAAAAUCUGGAAAGUUAAGCCACUUACUUUGACAAGUAAUUGUGAGUAUUUGUAAUAUAUGUAAUUCAAUGAUAUAAGGUUUUUUUAACACAUGAAGUUCUUUGGCCAGUUAAAUUUAACCAAAAAAAAGGAUUUUCAAGUGAAAAAGAAAAGAAAGAGGUUCUCUAUGGAGAUCUAUAAAUUUCACCACCCAUGUGAAGAUUACAACUAUGUAUGAGAGUCAUUUUUGAAGUUGAAAUGAUUGAAACGUUGGAGCAUGGAUUAAAGUACCAAAUCAGACCUGGGGAAGUUGCAAAUGCGGUUGCAUAUCUACAUUAAUGGAAUGAUGCUUCCUGCCUGUAUUUUAAAAACUGAUGCCUGGACAGAGUCUCGCUUUGUUGCCCAGGCUGGAGUAGAGUGGUGUGAUCUCAGCUUACUGCAACCUUCACCUCCUGGGUUCAAACAAUUCUCCUGCCUCAGCCUCCUGAGUAGCUGCCACUAUACCAUGCCUGGAUAAUUUUUGUAUUUUUAGUAGAGACAGGGUUUCACCAUGUUGGCCAAGCUUAUCGAAAACUCCCAACCGCAAGUGGUCGGCCUGCCUUGGCUUUCCAGAGUUCUGGGAUUACAGGUGUAAGCAACCAUUCCCAGUCAUAUAUAGAGAGAGAUUUUUGAAUCAUUGUCUUUCAAAUGGUCAGACCAUUUAUGUGUGUGUAUAUAUAUAUAUAAUUGCAUACUUAAAAUAAGAUACAUGAAAACAAUUCAGAAUACUAAAAAGUGUUGCUUAUAAAUAAAGCAGUGUGUAAACUACUGGACAAUAUUGAUACAAAACACAAAAAUGCAGUAUUUUGCAUUAGCUCUUAGACCACCUGAAUGAAAUCACCGUUUAAAACUCUUGUGAAGUCUGAUAAUUGUACUUAGCUACCAAUAAUGGAAAGUAUCAUGAUUUAAAUUUAAAGAGGACACAAUGUUGUACUUUAUGAGAAAAAUCUUAUUUUCUGUCUACAGAGGAUUAUAAGUGAGAUUUAGUAGAGGGAAAACUGGUGAUAAUUGUCACAUUCCUUUCUUUCACUCUCAACAUCCAAAUGAUCACUCAAAAUGGUCAUUUUUUAAAUUGGUGCAGUGUAACUAAAAGCUAUUUUAAGAGUGGCUAUUUCCAUAUUAUAAAAGUCUAUCUUAUUUUCUUCAGUCUUACUGAAAAUAGUGCUUUCUGUCUAAACCAUUAAGGUGUUAAAGCAUAUCAGGAUAAGUUGAAACCCAAUGAGAGCAAGUGACAUAUUUUAACAAGGAUUUAUAGGUCACUGUCUUGCAAAAACAAAACUCAAAGUACAUUUAUUGACACACAGAAAAAUUUUAACUACUGAAAAACCUAUUCAUAAAUAUUGCACUUAUUUAAAAUUAAUUUAUUAGAUUAUAUAAAUGACCAUUUGGCAUUGCUAAAAAUAUUAAACUUGGCUAUUUCGGUGAAUAAUAGUACAAUAAUUGUACUCUGCCUUUCCUUUGUAAUCAAAAUGUUUAAAAAAGACAAGAGAAAAAAAGUCAAAUAAAACUAAGAAACAACCAACGUAUGAAGAAGUAUUUCCUAUGGACUAUACUGAAAAUUGGACCUAGGUCAAGGACAAAGUACUAGGUCAGAAGCCACCGUGGAGGUAAUGGACUAUGCAUGUAGUCUGAGUUCCUUCAAGAUGAGUCACACAAUCCCAAGGAUAGGCUUAAUAUUUAUAUACAGAACCCAGAGUGCUUGGAAUUGGGUCACUAGGUGUGAGGACAAAUUGCAAGAGAGUCACUGACCUGGAGGAGCAGAUCUGACUCAGGGAACACACAGGCUAUUUUGCAUGAAAACAGAUGAUGGAUUUAGCAAUGUGGUGGAGAAAAGGUAGAAAACAAGAAGCUCUGUAACUCUUCAUUUUGGUCAGCUAAAAAGAAGGACAUUCUAUCACUACAGGUAAGACCUAUGACAUCAGUUCACUGUAGACCUGCCAUCUGCAAGCGAAUUACAGCCACAGGAAUAGGCGUUUUGGUAACGGUGGAGAAAGACACAGUAGGAGAAAUGUAGCUGACUGCUUCUUUAGUUUACCAACACCAUAUCAAUAUUCAGUAAAACGUGAUAUUGAAAAAAACAGCUCCCAUUGAAUAAUUAGAGGCAGAAAAAGGUAGUAAAUCAACAGGAUAAAAAAGUGGCAAAUCAAAAAUAAAUACCAAAAAUUUUUCCACGAAUUAGCUAGAAAAUAUGGAGAUUCGAGUUUCAAUGAAAUCAAAAGAAAACACAGAUUCUCUGAAAAAAGAGCCUAAAGAAGAGAUGAAGGAAGUAAAAGUAGACUAAAAGCAGGAAAAAAUAGAAGAGUAAAUAAAACUAUGGGAUAAAUAAAAUCCAUUUUAACAGUUAAUUCUUCUUCUUUCAAAAUAGAGGCUCAAUAGAUCCAGCAUAACAUGAGACUCUCCCCAAAAGAGAACUAAAAUAUUUAAAUUAUAAGAAAUAAAAGGAAGAGUCUUAAAAUUUUCCAGAUUUAGAAUAAAACUACACAAACACACGUAUUGCUACACACACACAUUCUAAAAAUGCAUGCUACUUAUUAAAAGAGAAAUGAAAAAAUAAAACUUUAAUGAAAAAAAAACCUGAAUUUCUCUAACUCAUAAAGAAUUUUUUCAACCAAAAAGAUAAAACCCACAAUUCAAUUAAACACUGGGGCAGUCUGCAUAGGAUGUUCAUGAACUUAACAAAUCAAAGAAACAUCUUAAAUAACAUAUAAACAUUUUUAAAUAAGUGGCUCUAAACAUACAAAAACUUGUCCAACCACCUAUUAAAGAAAGACCAAUGAAAACAACAUUAAGAUACCAUUGACAAGUAUGAAAAAGGUUGACAGAUAGUGCUGGGCAGCUGUCAACACUACAAAGGAGGGAAAGUUUGGAUUCAAAUACAUUGGGGGAAAAUUUGUCAAUCUAUCAAAAUGUAAACUGUACAACAUUCCCCCUCCAAAAAAAAUUACAUUUGUAGGACUUUAUUAUACAAAUAAACUGAAACCUAAGGAGCCAGUUUAAUUAGGCCAAGACUUCAUUAAAGUUAGUUCUCAAACGAGUUAUUUUAAACGGUUUCCAU